CGUGUAGGCGGCCCGGUAAGUCCGCUGUAAAAGUCAAAGGCUCAACCUUUGAAUGUCAGUGGAUACUGCCGGGCUAGAGUCCGGAAGAGGCGAGUGGAACUCCUGGUGUAGCGGUGGAAUGCGCAGAUAUCAGGAAGAACACCAACGGCGAAGGCAGCUCGCUGGGACGGUACUGACGCUGAGACGCGAAAGCGUGGGGAGCGAACAGGAUUAGAUACCCUGGUAGUCCACGCCGUAAACGAUGGGCACUAGGUGUGGGAGGUGUCGACUCCUCCCGUGCCGGCGCUAACGCAUUAAGUGCCCCGCCUGGGGAGUACGGCCGCAAGGCUAAA
Molecule: ribosomal RNA, 332 nt
Filed under: uncultured bacterium
Lineage: Bacteria
Description: bacterial SSU rRNA
Rfam family: Bacterial small subunit ribosomal RNA
Source: RNAcentral